Molecule: long non-coding RNA, 1191 nt
Organism: Triticum dicoccoides
Lineage: Eukaryota; Viridiplantae; Streptophyta; Magnoliopsida; Poales; Poaceae
Exons: 2
Source: RefSeq, a predicted model, not a curated record
AUGUAAUGGAGUACACUUGAUGCGAUCAAUUCUGGUGUGUGUGUGUGUGUGUGAUGCAAUGACGUAUGAAUAACGACAGAAAAAUAUGCCUGAGGAGUAUGGGAUUGACGCGCCCUAUAUGCGGCGACCCGCGGCUACUCCUCCCAGCCCCGGAUAUGCUCUUCCGCCACCUGAGACCCACAGCUCCAAUGAUCCACGACAAGGGAUGACGACCAACUCGGCUGCCCCUCCCUCGUGCAGCUCCCUCUGAGGCUGCAGCAACCUUCGAACGAGGCCACUACGGUGCCACCUAUGUUGUCCUGAAGUUCCCUCAGAUUUGACAUUUUCAGUUUCGUCAGAUUUAGUUUCAUCAGAUUCAGAAAAUUCAGUUCAUCAGUUUCAUCAAAGUUUCAGUUGUUAGUUAAUUUGUCGGGCACGUUGGCACUCGCGCACGUCGUCCGCUUCCUCACAUCACUCGCUCACAUAGCCCACCUGCCAAUCCAAGCAACGACUUGGUCAGGGAUCGGACUGGACCAGACGGUGUCCACCAUGACCUGAAGGCGAUGCCGGAGUCCAAGUGUGUGUAAGUUACACCGGCCUUUGAUUUAUAUAUCCACCAUCCACUGAUCAGUGACCUGAAAAGGUUGGGCGCUCUGAGCUAGCACAUAAGCUGAUUGAUGAGAUGGAUUGAAAUGCUUUUGAUUUGUUAGGCCGUCAAUAUUCCAAACUGAAGUCCAAGGAAGAACGAUUAGGAACAGCAGGUAAGAAGCCCAUGAGUUAGUUGUCUUACAGGCAUGCACGUGCACAAGGUGCUGAUACAUAGUUGCAGAUUUCCAAUGGAUGCUGGUGUUGUCGGUUGACAUCUCCGGGGCUGUACAUCAUGAUGGUUACCAAGACACAACAAUGAUCUCAAUGCUACAAACCUGAAUGGAAUACCAUAACUGCAGACCUGAUCACAAUGCUACAAACUUGAAUGAAAUACCUUGAUUGCAGGCCUUUGCUGAUUUGCGUUUUCCAUUGAUCUUCAAUGCACUAAAGAAUAGUGAAAUCUUGGCAUCUGAUUCAUUUUGCAGGCUAUGCUUUUAACUCAAUGAAAAUGUGCAUUUUUAGUUGACCUUAUUGUCUGUUUGUAGCUAAUUGGGAGACAAACAUGGGCAAUGAGCAGCUUUUUUGAUGACAGUGCAAUCAAGGACUCACAUAUUCACUGAUGAA